UCCGUGGCUCAGGACGAACGCUGGCGGCGUGCUUAACACAUGCAAGUCGAGCGAUGAAGCUCCUUCGGGAGUGGAUUAGCGGCGGACGGGUGAGUAACACGUGGGUAACCUACCUCAUAGAGGGGAAUAGCCUUCCGAAAGGAAGAUUAAUACCGCAUAAGAUUGUAAUACCGCAUGGUAUAGCAAUUAAAGGAGUAAUUCGCUAUGAGAUGGACCCGCGUCGCAUUAGCUAGUUGGUGAGGUAACGGCUCACCAAGGCGACGAUGCGUAGCCGACCUGAGAGGGUGAUCGGCCACAUUGGGACUGAGACACGGCCCAGACUCCUACGGGAGGCAGCAGUGGGGAAUAUUGCACAAUGGGGGAAACCCUGAUGCAGCAACGCCGCGUGAGUGAUGACGGUCUUCGGAUUGUAAAACUCUGUCUUCAGGGACGAUAAUGACGGUACCUGAGGAGGAAGCCACGGCUAACUACGUG
This 474-nucleotide ribosomal RNA is filed under the name Clostridium sp. enrichment culture clone OTU176. RNAcentral's name for it is "bacterial SSU rRNA". It matches the Rfam family "Bacterial small subunit ribosomal RNA", at positions 16 to 507 of the family's 1533-position model. Lineage: Bacteria; Bacillati; Bacillota; Clostridia; Eubacteriales; Clostridiaceae. The record is from RNAcentral.